AAUAGAUACCCAGGUAGUCCACGCCGUAAACGAUGGAUACUAGCUGUUCGGCGUAAGCUGAGUGGCUAAGCGAAAGUGAUAAGUAUCCCACCUGGGGAGUACGAACGCAAGUUUGAAACUCAAAGGAAUUGACGGGGGCCCGCACAAGCGGUGGAGCAUGUGGUUUAAUUCGAUGAUACGCGAGGAACCUUACCAGGGCUUAAAUGUAGAUUGACAGGUUUAGAGAUAGACUUUUCUUCGGACAAUUUACAAGGUGCUGCAUGGUUGUCGUCAGCUCGUGCCGUGAGGUGUCAGGUUAAGUCCUAUAACGAGCGCAACCCCUGUUGUUAGUUGCCAGCGAGUCAAGUCGGGAACUCUAACAAGACUGCCAGUGCAAACUGUGAGGAAGGUGGGGAUGACGUCAAAUCAUCACGGCCCUUACGUCCUGGGCUACACACGUGCUACAAUGGUAGGGACAGAGAGCAGCCACUUCGCGAGAAGGAGCGAAUCUAUAAAACCCUAUCACAGUUCGGAUCGGAGUCUGCAACUCG
RNAcentral lists this ribosomal RNA (530 nucleotides) under uncultured bacterium. Its description in RNAcentral is "bacterial SSU rRNA". It matches the Rfam family "Bacterial small subunit ribosomal RNA", at positions 777 to 1314 of the family's 1533-position model. The record is from RNAcentral.